This 1550-nucleotide ribosomal RNA is filed under the name Klebsiella aerogenes. RNAcentral describes it as "bacterial SSU rRNA". It matches the Rfam family "Bacterial small subunit ribosomal RNA". Lineage: Bacteria; Pseudomonadati; Pseudomonadota; Gammaproteobacteria; Enterobacterales; Enterobacteriaceae. The record is from RNAcentral.
AAAUUGAAGAGUUUGAUCAUGGCUCAGAUUGAACGCUGGCGGCAGGCCUAACACAUGCAAGUCGAGCGGUAGCACAGAGAGCUUGCUCUCGGGUGACGAGCGGCGGACGGGUGAGUAAUGUCUGGGAAACUGCCUGAUGGAGGGGGAUAACUACUGGAAACGGUAGCUAAUACCGCAUAACGUCGCAAGACCAAAGUGGGGGACCUUCGGGCCUCAUGCCAUCAGAUGUGCCCAGAUGGGAUUAGCUAGUAGGUGGGGUAAUGGCUCACCUAGGCGACGAUCCCUAGCUGGUCUGAGAGGAUGACCAGCCACACUGGAACUGAGACACGGUCCAGACUCCUACGGGAGGCAGCAGUGGGGAAUAUUGCACAAUGGGCGCAAGCCUGAUGCAGCCAUGCCGCGUGUAUGAAGAAGGCCUUCGGGUUGUAAAGUACUUUCAGCGAGGAGGAAGGCAUUAAGGUUAAUAACCUUGGUGAUUGACGUUACUCGCAGAAGAAGCACCGGCUAACUCCGUGCCAGCAGCCGCGGUAAUACGGAGGGUGCAAGCGUUAAUCGGAAUUACUGGGCGUAAAGCGCACGCAGGCGGUCUGUCAAGUCGGAUGUGAAAUCCCCGGGCUCAACCUGGGAACUGCAUUCGAAACUGGCAGGCUAGAGUCUUGUAGAGGGGGGUAGAAUUCCAGGUGUAGCGGUGAAAUGCGUAGAGAUCUGGAGGAAUACCGGUGGCGAAGGCGGCCCCCUGGACAAAGACUGACGCUCAGGUGCGAAAGCGUGGGGAGCAAACAGGAUUAGAUACCCUGGUAGUCCACGCCGUAAACGAUGUCGACUUGGAGGUUGUGCCCUUGAGGCGUGGCUUCCGGAGCUAACGCGUUAAGUCGACCGCCUGGGGAGUACGGCCGCAAGGUUAAAACUCAAAUGAAUUGACGGGGGCCCGCACAAGCGGUGGAGCAUGUGGUUUAAUUCGAUGCAACGCGAAGAACCUUACCUACUCUUGACAUCCAGAGAACUUAGCAGAGAUGCUUUGGUGCCUUCGGGAACUCUGAGACAGGUGCUGCAUGGCUGUCGUCAGCUCGUGUUGUGAAAUGUUGGGUUAAGUCCCGCAACGAGCGCAACCCUUAUCCUUUGUUGCCAGCGGUCCGGCCGGGAACUCAAAGGAGACUGCCAGUGAUAAACUGGAGGAAGGUGGGGAUGACGUCAAGUCAUCAUGGCCCUUACGAGUAGGGCUACACACGUGCUACAAUGGCAUAUACAAAGAGAAGCGACCUCGCGAGAGCAAGCGGACCUCAUAAAGUAUGUCGUAGUCCGGAUUGGAGUCUGCAACUCGACUCCAUGAAGUCGGAAUCGCUAGUAAUCGUAGAUCAGAAUGCUACGGUGAAUACGUUCCCGGGCCUUGUACACACCGCCCGUCACACCAUGGGAGUGGGUUGCAAAAGAAGUAGGUAGCUUAACCUUCGGGAGGGCGCUUACCACUUUGUGAUUCAUGACUGGGGUGAAGUCGUAACAAGGUAACCGUAGGGGAACCUGCGGUUGGAUCACCUCCUUACCUUAAAGAA